Molecule: long non-coding RNA, 2318 nt
Filed under: Delphinapterus leucas (beluga whale)
Lineage: Eukaryota; Metazoa; Chordata; Mammalia; Artiodactyla; Monodontidae
Description: lncRNA (ENSDLEG00000000939.1)
Source: RNAcentral
CGGGUUUAACAGUCGUGCAAAUGACUGCUUCGGGGGUGGGGGGAGGGGGGAGGAGCUGUGCACGCCUGUCCUGGGUCCUAGGAAGCCACAUGGGCUCCAGCUGUCACCUGCAGGGGUGAUGGACUCUACAAGGGGUGGGGGUGGGGCAUUGUUUUGUGUUUUAGCGAGUAAAUCUCUGCGUCACAGUGAGAGACCUUGGCUGCCACCUUUACAAAGUUACACGAGGCAGCGUCUGCUGAGCCUAGCAAUUUGGGCUUCUUUCUAAUAUGCCUGCACGCCAGAAAGGUUGAAAGACAACAACAAAACCUCACCACAGCCUAAAUCAAUAUUCCUAACUCUGGCCUGAGCACAUUACAGAUGCCAAUGGGUGAGACUUUGCAUUCGAUAAAGUAAGCGCAUUUCAUUUUGUUGGGUCCCUUGCCUGCGUCUGCCCCUCAUCAAAGUGUCCCACUCUAGAAAAACAGAGGCCAACCUUCUCUUCCCGCUCUUCUUCCUCCCCGCUCCCAGGUUGGUUGACACCUUCUGCAUCUGCGAAGGGUACAGUGUGUGUGCCUCGCUGCCUCAUGUAUGAGAUUUACAUGGAGACCUGCAGGCAAAAUGCUCAGAACCAAGUCAACCCAGCCACGUUUGGGAAGCUCGUGCACUUGGUUUUCCCUGAUCUUGGCACCCGGAGGUGGGGCACAAGAGGAAGUGCCAGGUAUCAUUAACGACGGGAUCCGUAUCAAGAAAAGUUCUUUCUUCUAUGCCCAGUACUGCUGCCUUCUAGGUGAAAAAAGAUACCACAGGUUAGUACCUGUCAUUUAGGUCACAGCCUGAUCCGUAUGAGGACCGUUCGUACUUUGAACCUAACUGGCUUUUCGGCUGUUGUGCCGUUCAUCCUUCUUAAGGAUGGAAGUACACACAUCACAUGACCAUGCCUCUGACACGGGCCACAUCGUUGGCCAGAGAAAUGCACAUCGCGUUCACUUCCUCGGAUACUGUUCAUUUUCAUCCUCAUCUCAGUGGCCAAAGCCGUUUUGCACAAAGUCUUUGUCCUUCUCCAUCCCUCUGUCAAAUAUGACAGAAUGAGCCACUUCCUGCGCGAAACUUCCUCUAGCGCUCAGGACUCUGCGUCAUCCAGUUCCUUCCCCAGAAUGAGCCCUUCUUGGUCUCCUUACCUCUUCCCGCCGCCCCCAGGGCAUGCAUCUCCCUGAGAUCCAACCGUUCGUAAUCCAUGAUGCUCUUCCCCCACUUUGACCCCAAGACACCUCAUCCCUUUCUGUCUUCCACCUGCCUCUCCGUCCAUGGAUGACUCCUUCUAAAUCACUUGUGCUUCUCAUCUCUCCCACCUCCUAGGCUUUUCUGUCUGGCUGCCUACUGGACAUUUCCAUCCAGAAGACCCACUGGUAUCUCACACUGAGGAUGCAGAAAUUUAACUUCAUCCUCUCCCUCCAAUCACUUCUGCCUCUUGACGUCCCUAUUUCCAUCUGCGAUCCCAAUAGAUACAACCUGUGCAGGGCGUCACCCGAAAGCCAUCCUUGACUCCCUCGGGUCACAAGUCCUGUUAAUUCUUCCCUUUCGGGUCUCCUGACCACUCUUUAUGGUUACUGAUGUUUCCUUGAAGCCCUGGUCAUCUCAUAAUAAUCAGGAUUAUUUCCGUGGAUCCCACGUGACCUCCCUCUCUUCAGCCUCACCUCUCUGUAAACACAGCCGUGAGUAAAGCAACUACACUCUGGUAAAAAUUAAUUUAAAAAAUUAAAUUAAAAGUAUAAUAAUAAAUAAAUAAAUGGAAGGAGUAAGAAAAUAAUGGAUAAUCUUGAUUUGGCAAAACUUAAAACUUCUUUAUCUUAAAUAAUUAAAGGGAAAUUCCAUGUGUCUGUGGGCCACAUUCUUUGAUAUAAUUUAACAAAUAUAAUACUUAAUAGCAAAAUAUUCAUGUUAAUUCAUAUGAAGGCCGAGAACCCAGCAGCACCAAAACCAAAAAGAGAUAUUUAAAAAAGAGAAAUAUGAAUUCUGAAACAUAUCAAGAAACCUUAAUACCUUAAGGAAUUCUAUGAAAACUGUCUUUGUAACACUACUCAUUAAUAUAAAUACAAACCCCUAAAUUUCAAAAGAAGUAAAUAAAUAAAUACACACAACUGUGAGACUAACCUCCCCACCAUUCUGCAUUUUCUUUGUCUCUUUCUUGCUCAGAAACACUCAGGAGCUUGCUCUACCUCCUGCGUGAAGCCUACGCACCCCCCUUUCCCAGACUGGUGUCCGCCCCCCAGAUCCUUCCUACUGCACUUUAUCCGACCCUGUUGCCAGUUUCUCCCCCAUAUAAACUGCCGGUUUCAGCC